ACUCCGUACGGAGGCAGCAGGUGGGAAUAAUUGCACAAUGGGCGCAAGCCUGAUGCAGCCAUGCCGACGUGUGUGAAGAAGGCCUUCGGGUUGUAAAGCACUUUCAGUCGUGAGGAAGGUAGUGUAGUUAAUAGCUGCAUUAUUUGACGUUAGCGACAGAAGAAGCACCGGCUAACUCCGUGCCAGCAGCCGCGGUAAUAC
RNAcentral lists this ribosomal RNA (201 nucleotides) under uncultured bacterium. Its description in RNAcentral is "partial 16S ribosomal RNA". It matches the Rfam family "Bacterial small subunit ribosomal RNA", at positions 335 to 526 of the family's 1533-position model. The record is from RNAcentral.